GGAGAUAUAGCUCAGUUGGUAGAGUGCUUGUCUAAUGCUGCACAAGGUCCUGGGUUCAAUCCCCAGCACCACCA
RNAcentral lists this transfer RNA (74 nucleotides) under Ictidomys tridecemlineatus (thirteen-lined ground squirrel). Its description in RNAcentral is "Spermophilus tridecemlineatus (thirteen-lined ground squirrel) tRNA". It matches the Rfam family "tRNA". Rfam says of the family: Transfer RNA (tRNA) molecules are approximately 80 nucleotides in length. Their secondary structure includes four short double-helical elements and three loops (D, anti-codon, and T loops). Further hydrogen bonds mediate the characteristic L-shaped molecular structure. tRNAs have two regions of fundamental functional importance: the anti-codon, which is responsible for specific mRNA codon recognition, and the 3' end, to which the tRNAs corresponding amino acid is attached (by aminoacyl-tRNA synthetases). tRNAs cope with the degeneracy of the genetic code in two manners: having more than one tRNA (with a specific anti-codon) for a particular amino acid; and 'wobble' base-pairing, i.e. permitting non-standard base-pairing at the 3rd anti-codon position. Lineage: Eukaryota; Metazoa; Chordata; Mammalia; Rodentia; Sciuridae. The record is from Rfam by way of RNAcentral.